UUGAUGCAUUAAAGGGAGAAUCAGAAUAACUCGAGAGGAAGAGGCAGAAGAUUGCACUGAAAGACUUAGAUUACUAAGAUCAGAGGAGGUCUAUGAAGAUCAUAAUCACUAGUAAUGACUGGAUGGAUUGAUGUUAUCGCAAACAGUAAAUUACAGGAGAAUAAAUAUUCACCGUGAGCAUUGGUUCGAUGCUCAAGCAAGGCAUUGAUAAAGUUAAAUCAAUCAAUACGUUCCGAUCGUGAAGAGCAGACUCCACGAAGCAAGACGUAAACUUUUCAGAUUCUUCAAUUAUGCCACAUGCCUUUGCUUACUGAAAGAAAAACACAAUUUGCAUUUAUAGGCAUUUUUAAUGCUAAAAGCGACACUUUGCAAGAGAGUAAUUCAUCAAUUCACACCAGGUCAAGGAAGGAAAAAUUUGUACGGGCAACCAAUAGCUUGGUCAAAGAGAUUUAUGAACUUGUACUGGUCAAAGUCCUGGAGCUCCCCUUCCUCUUGGCAUUAUGAGUUUAUCUACAGAACAUGGACUGCAGUGAUUCAAGAAGACAGGUCAUCACCAUCUUCUCCAGGGCAUCUAGGAGUGGGCAAUAAAUAC
Long non-coding RNA from Stegostoma tigrinum, 592 nucleotides. RefSeq lists it as uncharacterized. Lineage: Eukaryota; Metazoa; Chordata; Chondrichthyes; Orectolobiformes; Stegostomatidae. The transcript has 3 exons. The record is from RefSeq and is a predicted model, not a curated record.